GAAAAAUUGUUUGAUUCGGUAAAUUCUGAGCGGCUCCCGAUGAGCGGCACCUUGACCAGCCCGUGGUGGUGCACUGUAUCGAUUGAAGUGGUCUUUGAGAUUCCGUAAACGUACGAAAUCCGUGCUCUUGGGGUUUCGGCGCACAUUCUCUGUGAUAUCGUAGUGCUGGAGAAGGAAACCCGCGAAUCGGGCGUACGCGUUAUCGCUCCGGUGGAUGCGCUCCAGCAGUUCGAGUCGUUCGCUCCGGGUCUGGGGCGGCUCGACGUCUCCCAGACCCUCAAGGGUGAUCGGUGCUGUGCGGUCGCUCGAGGCCGACGAAGAGCGCACGUCGAGACUUUCGCCACUGGCGCCUUGCUCGAGCCAGCGGCUUCCAGCGGGGGCACGCGUUGCGUCAUGGUGCAAGGCGCUGGAUCCGGGAGCAGGAGCCUCAUUCGGGGCGGAUCCAUCGCGCGUUCGCUGCUGGGCCGGUGCUUGCGGUGCGGCUGCAGCACCGGACGCUCUUCGCUUGGUUUUCGCUGCAGAUGAUACGCUGCCCGCUGUAUCAUGUUCUAAGCGCUGCGUAACUCGCGCGGCAGCCACCGCGGGGAACCUCUCUGGCAUCGUCAAGUCAGGGUUGGUGCAAACGCCUUCGUCAGCUAGUGCACGUUUCCGUCCAGCUCUGUCCUCUAGAUACCGCGCAGCUUCGCCAUUAUCGUACCGAGUCGAGGUCGAUGCCGGCAUCGCGCCGGGUCGCCGGUGCACGCUCGCAUCCUCAGCUGCCGACAACGACGGACGCUCAUUGAUAAGCGCCCACGAGGCAGGUGCGGAAACGCUGGUUUCGGGUCCCAGCGAAUGACCCGGUGCUGGGCGAGGCAUGGCGCCCGGUUCUCCGGACUCGAACGCAAAAACAGACCCGGGCAGGUUGGCGUUCAGCAUCGAUCGAGUACCCAUCGGCUGCGACUGUGACCCCGGUAACGUGGCGGUGCCUCGUGAACUGCCUCGACCGUGGCCCGCCCCACCAGUAUGGUGCAGCAACAGCGGCGAUGCGCUCGUGGUACCUGGAUCAACCGCCGCGUUGGGCGUGCGCAUCAUCUGGCCGGGUGACAGGGCUGCCGCCGCUCCACCAGCCGUCACAAGCGAUCGGCUUCCCGACGUCGACACAUGCACCGCGGACGACGGAUGACUGGCGUUUGGCGCUACAAUGCCGCUCAGGCUACUGAGAUGCUCCGUCGGAGGCGCGCGCAUAAAGUCAGGAUUUGUUCCCGGGACUCGUCCAGUGGGCUCCAUGAUCGAGCCGCGUGCAAGUGGCGUGGUUGCACCAGCAGACAAGAGUGCAUGAAACGAAUCGACGCGGUGCAGUUUCUCGGUGUAGGAAUCUUCAUCCACGCUACUUGGAGCUCCCACGACGACCUCGGGUAUGCUGCGGUCGGAGCCGCCGCCGCCGCCGCCGCCGCCACCACCAACGCCGCUGCUGCCCAUGCCCAUGCCGCUCGAAACAAGCGCCAUUUGUUGGUUCCCAAAUGUGCCCGCACUCACACCGUACAUCAAAGAGGAGCCUCCGUUUCCGCCACCUGGUCCCUGAGCGUAACCGUUACUGCCGCCAAGACCCGGGGAAGGCCCCGCCAGCUGCGCGCCAUUCGCCCCGCUCGCACUGCCGCCCAGAUCAAAAACGUUGUGCAGCGGAUCGUCUUGGCUCAUGGACCAGACCCGUGGGAGCAGUCCAACAUGAUCGCCUCCGAUCGAAUCACCAGCUAUUUCCUGAUCAUCGAUGCUGGCGUCGCUAUCUCGCAUGGGACGCUCAGGCUGCCUUCCGCUAGGUAGUUCGUGACCAAGAUCGCUCAGCCCGAAGAGGUCUUCCUGUUUAGAAUCCAACACGUUGUAGACCUCAUCAAUGGGCCAAUCGCUCAUGAGUUCCUGAGUCCCCUUCAGCGAUAGCGUAUUCGGGACCCGCACACCGUAGCCGCGCUUGUUCAGCACAACUUGGCGAAGGUAUCGAAGCGCGUCCCGGGCUCGGCGACGUGCUACCCGAUUCUCGACAACCGGUCGCGGAUAGGUGACACCCAGUUCAACCCUAGCCUGAUGCAGAAUCGUCGGAGGGCAUUUCCACACCGCAUGGAUGUAGCUACUGGGGAUCUGUUGCAACUCUGGACACCAGGUACGCACGUACUCACCCUCGGGGUCUACGCGCAUGCCCAUCACGACUGGGUUCACGAGGCAAUUCAAGGGGAAAACGUCGUAGUUGCAGCCCGUCACCCACUGCCAGCAGAUCGCGUUGCUCGCCAGAUCGCCAUCGAUGAAUAGUUUGAAGAGGCAACGAGCCCCGAUCUGCCACGGCAGGAGAAGGUACUUGGUAAAAAAAGAAGC
RNAcentral lists this unclassified non-coding RNA (2343 nucleotides) under Cyanidioschyzon merolae strain 10D. RNAcentral's name for it is "hypothetical transcript". Lineage: Eukaryota; Rhodophyta; Bangiophyceae; Cyanidiales; Cyanidiaceae. The record is from RNAcentral.